UAGCCAUGGUGAAAGCAUUGAUUCAACAGAUCCUCGAAUCUUUCCCAAACUUGAUAGAACGUUUCAUUGUCCUUUUGGGAAAAUGUGGAAAUUUUUCGUUUUAGACU
This is a small nucleolar RNA of Humulus lupulus (European hop), 107 nucleotides long. Lineage: Eukaryota; Viridiplantae; Streptophyta; Magnoliopsida; Rosales; Cannabaceae. The record is from RefSeq and is a predicted model, not a curated record.